AAAAAACUCAAAAUUUCAGUUUUAAAGAAUCCCAGAGACCACUCUCAGUCUCUUCCUUGUGGUAUCUCUCCCAACCUCAAAGAGAAAAGCAGUAGUAAGAUAACAAGAAAAUGCACGAAAUUCUUUCUUUAUUUUCAAACAAACAAUAAAAGAUAUCUGUUAAUGCAACUCACAUGAUCACCAAUUAUAUAUACUGAUAUCAUUACCAAAUAAUUCUUCCCCACACAGCCAAAAUGAUUAUAAUAGCAAGUACUAAUAUUAAAAAUUAUUAUUCCUUAAAAGUUGCCUUUUUCCCUUUCCCAAAAUCCCACUUUUAUUUUUUAAAAAAGAGUAUGAAAACAGUAAAGGUAAGCUAAAUAAGAAAACAGGAAUUUACCCACUGAGAAUUUAUUUCCCAGA
This 399-nucleotide unclassified non-coding RNA is filed under the name Hevea brasiliensis (rubber tree). Lineage: Eukaryota; Viridiplantae; Streptophyta; Magnoliopsida; Malpighiales; Euphorbiaceae. The record is from RNAcentral.